This 524-nucleotide ribosomal RNA is filed under the name Staphylococcus intermedius. RNAcentral describes it as "bacterial SSU rRNA". It matches the Rfam family "Bacterial small subunit ribosomal RNA", at positions 73 to 584 of the family's 1533-position model. The record is from RNAcentral. Lineage: Bacteria; Bacillati; Bacillota; Bacilli; Caryophanales; Staphylococcaceae.
AAGGAGCUUGCUCCUUUGACGUUAGCGGCGGACGGGUGAGUAACACGUGGGUAACCUACCUAUAAGACUGGAAUAACUCCGGGAAACCGGGGCUAAUGCCGGAUAACAUGUUGAACCGCAUGGUUCUACAGUGAAAGACGGUCUUGCUGUCACUUAUAGAUGGACCCGCGCCGUAUUAGCUAGUUGGUGGGGUAACGGCCUACCAAGGCGACGAUACGUAGCCGACCUGAGAGGGUGAUCGGCCACACUGGAACUGAGACACGGUCCAGACUCCUACGGGAGGCAGCAGUAGGGAAUCUUCCGCAAUGGGCGAAAGCCUGACGGAGCAACGCCGCGUGAGUGAUGAAGGUCUUCGGAUCGUAAAGCUCUGUUGUUAGGGAAGAACAAAUGUGUAAGUAACUGUGCACAUCUUGACGGUACCUAACCAGAAAGCCACGGCUAACUACGUGCCAGCAGCCGCGGUAAUACGUAGGUGCAAGCGUUAUCCGGAAUUAUUGGGCGUAAAGCGCGCUAGGCGGUUUUUU